AUUGAACGCUGGCGGCAUGCCUUACACAUGCAAGUCGAACGGCAGCACGGGAGCAAUCCUGGUGGCGAGUGGCGAACGGGUGAGUAAUAUAUCGGAAUGUGCCCAGUCGUGGGGGAUAACGUAGCGAAAGCUACGCUAAUACCGCAUACGAUCUAUGGAUGAAAGCGGGGGAUCGCAAGACCUCGCGCGAUUGGAGCGGCCGAUAUCAGAUUAGGUAGUUGGUGAGGUAAAGGCUCACCAAGCCGACGAUCUGUAGCUGGUCUGAGAGGACGACCAGCCACACUGGGACUGAGACACGGCCCAGACUCCUACGGGAGGCAGCAGUGGGGAAUUUUGGACAAUGGGCGCAAGCCUGAUCCAGCAAUGCCGCGUGCAGGAUGAAGGCC
This 386-nucleotide ribosomal RNA is filed under the name uncultured bacterium. Its description in RNAcentral is "bacterial SSU rRNA". It matches the Rfam family "Bacterial small subunit ribosomal RNA", at positions 30 to 416 of the family's 1533-position model. The record is from RNAcentral.